RNAcentral lists this ribosomal RNA (405 nucleotides) under uncultured bacterium. RNAcentral's name for it is "partial 16S ribosomal RNA". It matches the Rfam family "Bacterial small subunit ribosomal RNA", at positions 28 to 526 of the family's 1533-position model. The record is from RNAcentral.
GACGAACGCUGGCGGCGUGCUUAACACAUGCAAGUCGAACGAGUGGCGAACGGGUGAGUAACACGUGUGUGAUCUGCCUUGCACUUCGGGAUAAGCUUGGGAAACUGGGUCCAAUACCGGAUAGUGCAAGAUGAGCUCGCGGCCUAUCAGCUUGUUGGUGGGGUAAUGGCUACCAAAGAGCGACGGGUAGCCGGCCUGAGAGGGUGUACGGGCACAGUGGGACGGAGACACGGCGCAGACUCCUACGGGUGGCAGCAGUGGGGAAUAUUGCGCAAUGAGCGGAAGUCUGAUGCAGCGACGCCGGGUGGGGGAUGAAGGCCUUCGGGUUGUAAACUCCUUUCGACAGGGACGCGGUACCUGUAUAAGAAGCACCGGCUAACUACGUGCCAGCAGCCGCGGUAAUAC